GGCUUUGCUGAAACACCUUCCAGGUAUGCGUCAGCUCCAGUAACCAUUGGAAACAGACCUCUUUGUGGAGGACAAAGGCAAGCCUGAAGGAUGGGACCUGCCAACGAUUCCCUCUUGUGUGCAGCCACAAGACACACGGGCCGUGUUGAUUUACCGACAAAGACAAGGUCUCCUUCUGGGGAGCUGUUCCAUUGAUUCAGCCUUGGUCAGACUUAUUGGAAGAUUCCUGCCUGCUUCAAAUUUACCAAGGUUGUUAGGGAUAGAGAUACCGGAGCUGCAGAUACCACAGCUGCUGACGGAGUGGUGCAGAUGAGUGGAUGCUGUUAGUGGGGGGGCAUAGAAACGGCAGACAAAGAAUGAUGACUCCCAAAGAAAGCGCCACAUUGCAAAUCCCGCCAUGCAUAUCGAAGCGAACCACUGCAUCCCAAAACGCUGGAUAUUUGAUGGUGUGUUUUGUUUUAUGUGAUCUAAUAAAAAAAAAA
Molecule: long non-coding RNA, 482 nt
Organism: Oryzias melastigma (Indian medaka)
Lineage: Eukaryota; Metazoa; Chordata; Actinopteri; Beloniformes; Adrianichthyidae
Exons: 2
Source: RefSeq, a predicted model, not a curated record